RNAcentral lists this ribosomal RNA (594 nucleotides) under uncultured bacterium. Its description in RNAcentral is "partial 16S ribosomal RNA". It matches the Rfam family "Bacterial small subunit ribosomal RNA", at positions 355 to 1375 of the family's 1533-position model. The record is from RNAcentral.
UGGGGAAUUUUGGACAAUGGGCGAAAGCCUGAUCCGGCAAUGCCGCGUGUGUGAAGAAGGCCUUCGGGUUGUAAAGCACUUUUGUCCGGAAAGAAAUCCUUGGCUCUAAUACAGUCGGGGGAUGACGGUACCGGAAGAAUAAGCACCGGCUAACUACGUGCCAGCAGCCGCGGUAAUACGUAGGGUGCAAGCGUUAAUCGGAAUUACUGGGCGUAAAGCGUGCGCAGGCGGUUUGCUAAGACCGAUGUGAAAUCCCCGGGCUCAACCUGGGAACUGCAUUGGUGACUGGCAGGCUAGAGUAUGGCAGAGGGGGGUAGAAUUCCACGUGUAGCAGUGAAAUGCGUAGAGAUGUGGAGGAAUACCGAUGGCGAAGGCAGCCCCCCUGGGCCAAAUACUGACGCUCAUGCACGAAAAGCGUGGGGGAGCAAAACAGGAUUAGAUACCCUGGUAGUCCACGCCCUAAAACGAUGUCAACUAGUUGUUGGGGGAUUCAUUUUCCUUAGUAACGUAGCUAACGCGUGAAGUUGACCGCCUGGGGAGUACGGUCGCAAGAUUAAAAACUUAAAGGAAUUGACGGGGUCAUAGCUGUUUCCU